This is a long non-coding RNA of Triticum aestivum (bread wheat), 278 nucleotides long. RefSeq lists it as uncharacterized. The record is from RefSeq and is a predicted model, not a curated record. The transcript has 3 exons. NCBI's taxonomy places the organism in Eukaryota, Viridiplantae, Streptophyta, Magnoliopsida, Poales, Poaceae.
AAGAAACAAUCUACCGUACAAGUUGAACAUGCACACAACCUGCGUUUAUCAGGCACCCACACUGGCUCUAACUAUACAUCAUUGUCGAAUGAUGCGUCGGCACUUCCUGAUUCAACGGAGGUCUCGACUGGGAUCGUUAAUGACAUAGAGCUACAAGACGGGAUAUUGAAUGACAUACACGAAACAAAUGAAAGAACUGAAGAAGAACGCAAGAGAGACCAUAGAAACGCCCUAAGGCGAGCUGCUUAUAGGAGGAACAAGGAUAAGCGAAUCCAUGA